Molecule: ribosomal RNA, 489 nt
Filed under: uncultured bacterium
Lineage: Bacteria
Description: bacterial SSU rRNA
Rfam family: Bacterial small subunit ribosomal RNA
Source: RNAcentral
GAUGAACGCUAGCUACAGGCUUAACACAUGCAAGUCGAGGGGAAACGAUAUUGGAAGCUUGCUUCCGAUAGGCGUCGACCGGCGCACGGGUGAGUAACGCGUAUCCAACCUGCCCAUCACUUGGGGAUAACCUUGCGAAAGUAAGACUAAUACCCAAUGACGUCUCUAGAAGACAUCUGAAAGAGAUUAAAGAUUUAUCGGUGAUGGAUGGGGAUGCGUCUGAUUAGCUUGUUGGCGGGGUAACGGCCCACCAAGGCGACGAUCAGUAGGGGUUCUGAGAGGAAGGUCCCCCACAUUGGAACUGAGACACGGUCCAAACUCCUACGGGAGGCAGCAGUGAGGAAUAUUGGUCAAUGGACGCAAGUCUGAACCAGCCAUGCCGCGUGCAGGAUGACGGCUCUAUGAGUUGUAAACUGCUUUUGACGAGGGUAAACGCAGAUACGUGUAGCGCUGUGCAUGUACCGGGAGAAUAAGCAUCGGCUAAUUCCG